Molecule: non-coding RNA, 261 nt
Organism: Vicia faba (fava bean)
Lineage: Eukaryota; Viridiplantae; Streptophyta; Magnoliopsida; Fabales; Fabaceae
Source: the annotation of a GenBank genome assembly
AUGCAGGUUUUAUGCAGGUUUUAUGCAGCAGUAGUAGGGCUGUUUUGCAGGGCAGAAAUGCAGGUUUUGGACUGGUCACGAUUUUGGCAGCAAGGUGCAGCAGCAAUUUUAAUAGUAUUAGCAGACUUAUUUUUGGAGGUAUUGGGAAAUUGGACAGGGACUGGUUUUGCAAGGGCUGCAUAUGCUUGCAUUAGUUUAUGGUUAAGUGUAGGUUAUGGUAAUGGCAAUAGGACAGUAGCAUGGUGGACAAGUUAUGGUUAA